UAGGGAAUCUUCGGCAAUGGGGGGAACCCUGACCGAGCAACGCCGCGUGAGUGAAGAAGGUUUUCGGAUCGUAAAGCUCUGUUGUUAAGGAAGAACGAGUGUGAGAAUGGAAAGUUCAUACUGUGACGGUAUCUAACCAGAAAGCCACGGCUAACUACGUGCCAGCAGCCGCGGUAAUACGUAGGUGGCAAGCGUUGUCCGGAUUUAUUGGGCGUAAAGCGAGCGCAGGCGGUCAAUUAAGUCUGAUGUGAAAGCCCCCGGCUCAACCGGGGAGGGUCAUUGGAAACUGGUUGACUUGAGUGCAGAAGAGGGGAGUGGAAUUCCAUGUGUAGCGGUGAAAUGCGUAGAUAUAUGGAGGAACACCAGUGGCGAAGGCGACUCUCUGGUCUGUAACUGACGCUGAGGCUCGAAAGCGUGGGUAGCAAACAGG
RNAcentral lists this ribosomal RNA (430 nucleotides) under Bacteroidota bacterium. RNAcentral's name for it is "Bacteroidetes bacterium partial 16S ribosomal RNA". It matches the Rfam family "Bacterial small subunit ribosomal RNA", at positions 355 to 776 of the family's 1533-position model. The record is from RNAcentral. Lineage: Bacteria; Pseudomonadati; Bacteroidota.